AUACAGAGGGUGCGAGCGUUAAUCGGAAUUACUGGGCGUAAAGCGUGCGCAGGCGGUUUGUUAAGUCGGAUGUGAAAGCCCCGGGCUCAACCUGGGAACUGCAUUUGAAACUGGCAAACUAGAGUGUGGUAGAGGGAAGUGGAAUUCCUCAUGUAGCGGUGAAAUGCGUAGAUAUGAGGAGGAACACCAGUGGCGAAGGCGACUUCCUGGACCAACACUGACGCUCAUGUACGAAAGCGUGGGUAGCAAACAGGAUUAGAAACCCCGGUAGUCC
RNAcentral lists this ribosomal RNA (274 nucleotides) under uncultured bacterium. Its description in RNAcentral is "partial 16S ribosomal RNA". It matches the Rfam family "Bacterial small subunit ribosomal RNA", at positions 523 to 796 of the family's 1533-position model. The record is from RNAcentral.